AUUGAACGCUGGCGGCAGGCCUAACACAUGCAAGUCGAGCGGUAGAGAGAAGCUUGCUUCUCUUGAGAGCGGCGGACGGGUGAGUAAUGCCUAGGAAUCUGCCUGGUAGUGGGGGAUAACGUUCGGAAACGGACGCUAAUACCGCAUACGUCCUACGGGAGAAAGCAGGGGACCUUCGGGCCUUGCGCUAUCAGAUGAGCCUAGGUCGGAUUAGCUAGUUGGUGGGGUAAUGGCUCACCAAGGCGACGAUCCGUAACUGGCCUGAGAGGAUGAUCAGUCACACUGGAACUGAGACACGGUCCAGACUCCUACGUGAGGCAGCAGUGGGGAAUAUUGGACAAUGGGCGAAAGCCUGAUCCAGCCAUGCCGCGUGUGUGAAGAAGGUCUUCGGAUUGUAAAGCACUUUAGGUUGGGAGGAAGGGCAGUAAAUUAAUACUUUGCUGUUUUGACGUUACCGACAGAAUAAGCACCGGCUAACUCUGUGCCAGCCGCCGCGGUAA
Molecule: ribosomal RNA, 500 nt
Filed under: uncultured bacterium
Lineage: Bacteria
Description: partial 16S ribosomal RNA
Rfam family: Bacterial small subunit ribosomal RNA
Source: RNAcentral